This 254-nucleotide ribosomal RNA is filed under the name uncultured bacterium. RNAcentral describes it as "partial 16S ribosomal RNA". It matches the Rfam family "Bacterial small subunit ribosomal RNA", at positions 524 to 776 of the family's 1533-position model. The record is from RNAcentral.
UACGAAGGGGGCUAGCGUUGCUCGGAAUCACUGGGCGUAAAGGGCGCGUAGGCGGCCUUGUAAGUUGGGGGUGAAAGCCCGUGGCUCAACCACGGAAUUGCCUUCGAUACUGCUUGGCUUGAGACCGGAAGAGGUGAGUGGAACUGCGAGUGUAGAGGUGAAAUUCGUAGAUAUUCGCAAGAACACCAGUGGCGAAGGCGGCAUCCUGGGCCAACACUGACGCUGAGUGAGCGAAAGCCAGGGGAGCAAACGGG